This 165-nucleotide ribosomal RNA is filed under the name Salmonella enterica subsp. enterica serovar Typhi. Its description in RNAcentral is "partial 16S ribosomal RNA". It matches the Rfam family "Bacterial small subunit ribosomal RNA", at positions 1379 to 1533 of the family's 1533-position model. The record is from RNAcentral. Lineage: Bacteria; Pseudomonadati; Pseudomonadota; Gammaproteobacteria; Enterobacterales; Enterobacteriaceae.
CCUUGUAAACGCGGCCCGUCACACCAUGGGAGUGGGUUGCAAAAGAAGUAGGUAGCUUAACCUUCGGGAGGGCGCUUACCACUUUGUGAUUCAUGACUGGGGUGAAGUCGUAACAAGGUAACCGUAGGGGAACCUGCGGUUGGAUCACCUCCUUACCUUAAAGAA